AGUGAACGCUGGCGGUAGGCCUAACACAUGCAAGUCGAACGGCAGCACAGUAAGAGCUUGCUCUUACGGGUGGCGAGUGGCGGACGGGUGAGGAAUACAUCGGAAUCUACUUUUUCGUGGGGGAUAACGUAGGGAAACUUACGCUAAUACCGCAUACGACCUACGGGUGGAAGCAGGGGAUCUUCUGACCUUGCGCGAUUGAAUGAGCCGAUGUCGGAUUAGCUAGUUGGCGGGGUAAAGGCCCACCAAGGCGACGAUCCGUAGCUGGUCGGAGAGGAUGAUCAGCCACACUGGAACGGAGACACGGUCCAGACUCCUACGGGAGGCAGCAGUGGGGAAUAUUGGACAAUGGGCGCAAGCCUGAUCCAGCCAUACCGCGUGGGUGAAGAAGGCCUUCGGGUUGUAAAGCCCUUUUGUUGGGAAAGAAAAGCAGCAGGUUAAUACCCCGCUGUUCUGACGGUACCCAAAGAAUAAGCACCGGCUAACUUCGUG
Molecule: ribosomal RNA, 492 nt
Filed under: uncultured bacterium
Lineage: Bacteria
Description: partial 16S ribosomal RNA
Rfam family: Bacterial small subunit ribosomal RNA
Source: RNAcentral